Molecule: ribosomal RNA, 213 nt
Filed under: uncultured bacterium
Lineage: Bacteria
Description: partial 16S ribosomal RNA
Rfam family: Bacterial small subunit ribosomal RNA
Source: RNAcentral
AGCGAACGCUGGCGGCAGGCCUAAUACAUGCAAGUCGAGCGCACCGUUCGGGUGAGCGGCGGACGGGUGAGUAACGCGUGGGAAUGUGCCCCUUUGGUACGGAACAACUGAGGGAAACUUCAGCUAAUACCGUAUGUAGCCCCUUGGGGAAAGAUUUAUUGCCAUUGGAGCAGCCCGCGUUGGAUUAGGUAGUUGGUGGGGUAAAGGCCCACC